This is a non-coding RNA of Methanohalobium evestigatum Z-7303, 221 nucleotides long. It matches the Rfam family "HNH endonuclease-associated RNA and ORF (HEARO) RNA". NCBI's taxonomy places the organism in Archaea, Methanobacteriati, Methanobacteriota, Methanomicrobia, Methanosarcinales, Methanosarcinaceae. The record is from Rfam.
GUCAAUAACCCACCUCUAAAGAGGUGGGCUUGUCGAUGAGGCAAGCCCUGAUUGACCAGACUGAGUUCCCUCAACCAAAAGGGAACUACGUUAUCCCGGCUAUGAUACCCUCGGAUGCUUCCUUAGUCCGUUGGUCUAUCGCAUAGCAUUAAACAGUCCUUAGAGGUAGGGACAGUGUGCAUGCAUAACAAACCGGGAUAACUUUGUCGAAGGGAGACGGC